UACGGAGGGUGCGAGCGUUGUCCGGAAUCACUGGGCGUAAAGGGCGCGUAGGUGGCCGAGCAAGGUCGCGGUGAAAGCCCGGGGCUCAACCCCGGGUCGGCCGUGGCAACUACUGGGCUGGAGCACUGUAGGGGCGGGUGGAAUUCCGGGUGUAGCGGUGGAAUGCGUAGAGAUCCGGAAGAACACCGGUGGCGAAGGCGGCCCGCUGAGCAGUUGCUGACACUGAGGCGCGACAGCGUGGGGAGCAAACAGG
Molecule: ribosomal RNA, 253 nt
Filed under: uncultured bacterium
Lineage: Bacteria
Description: partial 16S ribosomal RNA
Rfam family: Bacterial small subunit ribosomal RNA
Source: RNAcentral